This 253-nucleotide ribosomal RNA is filed under the name uncultured bacterium. RNAcentral's name for it is "partial 16S ribosomal RNA". It matches the Rfam family "Bacterial small subunit ribosomal RNA", at positions 524 to 776 of the family's 1533-position model. The record is from RNAcentral.
UACAGAGGGUGCGAGCGUUGUUCGGAAUUAUUGGGCGUAAAGCGCUUGUAGGCGGCUUGUUAAGUCGCGUGUGAAAUCCCCAGGCUUAACCUGGGAAGUGCGCGCGAAACUGGCGAGCUUGAAUGCCGGAGAGGGUCGCGGAAUUCCCGGUGUAGAGGUGAAAUUCGUAGAUAUCGGGAGGAACACCAGUGGCGAAGGCGGCGACCUGGGUCGAUACUGACGCUGAGGUGCGAAAGCGUGGGGAGCAAACAGG